CCCAGUCCUUUAAAAAAUUUUUUUGGGGUUCCAGGGCUUGAACUCGGGGUGCUUAACACUGAGCCACAUCCCCAGCCCUUUUUUAAAAAUUUUGAUACAGGGUCUCCCAAAGUUGCUUAAGGUCUUGCUAAAUUGCCAAAGCUGGCCUUAAUCUUGCAAUCCUCCUGCCUCAGCCUCCCAAGUUGCUGGAAUUACAGGUGUGCACCACCAUGCUUAGCUCCCAUAUUAUUUUUUUUUCACCAUGUAACUAAAAGUUUAAUGAGUAGAGAUUUUUACCUUCACCCUCACUUUCAGAUGUGGAAGCCAAAGCUCAGACUGGAAAAAGUGAUUUGUAAAAGUUAUUGACAAGUUGAUAAUAGAAUGGAGACAGGGUGUCUGGGUAUGCUGAAGAAAGACUUGUGAUGCUAUCGGAAGCUGUCUUGGAGCUAUUUGACCCAGGCUCCAGGAGGCCUGUCUGUAUUGCUGGGUCAAAGCCCAGGUACCUAUCCUGUGAAUCAGGUCAAGGGUGGCACACAGAGUCCUAAUAGGCACUGAGAAGGCCCUAAGGCUAAGUGUUCCCUGAGGGCUCUGUUUUCUGCUUUAUCUGUUGUGGUAAGUAUACAGGUAUGAUUCUCUGUCUAGAUUUCCCCUUGCUUUCCAGCUUCUUUCCUUGCCCUGAGGUGUCUCAGAAAAAGACUGCGGUUUUACCAUAGAGACUGACACUUUCAUGGGACACAGUGUCCUGGGGAAGGGGUUGACUCACAGGUACAGAAACAGGUGGCCUGGGAAUUAACUUCUCCCUAUAACAUGGAUGUUUGUUAAAAUAGAUCAGACCAAAGGCAGUGGCCUCAAGGGGGAGGCAUUAUGGAGAGUAAAGGGCAUCUUGAGUGAGGAUAGAAAAAACAGCCC
Molecule: long non-coding RNA, 888 nt
Filed under: Marmota monax (woodchuck)
Lineage: Eukaryota; Metazoa; Chordata; Mammalia; Rodentia; Sciuridae
Source: RNAcentral